Molecule: ribosomal RNA, 282 nt
Filed under: uncultured bacterium
Lineage: Bacteria
Description: partial 16S ribosomal RNA
Rfam family: Bacterial small subunit ribosomal RNA
Source: RNAcentral
UACGGAGGGUGCGAGCGUUAAUCGGAAUUACUGGGCGUAAAGAGCACGUAGGUGGUUUGGUAAGUCGGAUGUGAAAGCCCCGGGCUUAACCUGGGAAUUGCAUUCGAAACUGCCUCACUAGAGUCUAGCAGAGGGAUGCGGAAUUCCGGGUGUAGCGGUGAAAUGCGUAGAGAUCCGGAGGAACAUCAGUGGCGAAGGCGGCAUCCUGGGCUAAGACUGACACUGAGGUGCGAAAGACGUGGGGAGCAAACGGAAGAUUAGAAGUACCCGUCGAGAUACCGU